UACGUAGGGUGCAAGCGUUGUCCGGAAUUAUUGGGCGUAAAGGGCUCGUAGGCGGUCUGUUGCGUCGGUAGUGAAAACUCAGGGCUUAACCCUGAGCCUGCUUCCGAUACGGGCAGACUAGAGGUAUGCAGGGGAGAACGGAAUUCCUGGUGUAGCGGUGAAAUGCGCAGAUAUCAGGAGGAACACCGAUGGCGAAGGCAGGUCUCUGGGCAUUAACUGACGCUGAGGAGCGAAAGCAUGGGGAGCGAACAGG
RNAcentral lists this ribosomal RNA (253 nucleotides) under uncultured bacterium. RNAcentral describes it as "partial 16S ribosomal RNA". It matches the Rfam family "Bacterial small subunit ribosomal RNA", at positions 524 to 776 of the family's 1533-position model. The record is from RNAcentral.